GUCGAUUUAGAAAGAGUUUACAGUAACGUGUGUGAGGAAAGAAGGAAGGAAGGACGCGCUGUUCCCUCCAGAGAGCACUGCUGUCCACCCGGGACCGUCAGAGUCUGAAGAUGCACCGCAGAAAUCUCCGACCCGUCUGAGAGUUUGGCUGUUUCCACUUUGUGUUUUCUUGAGUCUGUAAAGAACGUGCGUGAGACAUGAUUCACUCAGCGACACAUGGAGUAAGUUUGGUGGUAUAUGUAGUAAAUAGAGAGUUAUAGUAGUUUCUUAUGAAGAUGAGUCACUGAUUAUUUGUCACAGAAAUAUGUGGGAAAACACGUUUGAACUCCACAUGUCUUUAUUCUGCAGGAGGAGAUCACUGCAGAGCGGAUCUGCAUGUAAACAAAGUCAGAGACGCUGGAGUUCAAGGUGGAGAAGACAG
Molecule: non-coding RNA, 421 nt
Organism: Xyrichtys novacula (pearly razorfish)
Lineage: Eukaryota; Metazoa; Chordata; Actinopteri; Labriformes; Labridae
Source: the annotation of a GenBank genome assembly